GACGAACGCUGGCGGCGUGCUUAACACAUGCAAGUCGAACGGAAAGGCCCUGCUUUUGUGGGGUGCCCGAGUGGCGAACAGGUGAGUAACACGUGAGUAACCUGCCCUUGACUUUGGGAUAACUUCAGGAAACUGGGGCUAAUACCGGAUAGGAGCUCCUGCUGCAUGGUGGGGGUUGGAAAGUUUCGGCGGUUGGGGAUGGACUCGCGGCUUAUCAGCUUGUUGGUGGGGUAGUGGCUUACCAAGGCUUUGACGGGUAGCCGGCCUGAGAGGGUGACCGGCCACAUUGGGACUGAGAUACGGCCCAGACUCCUACGGGAGGCAGCAGUGGGGAAUAUUGCACAAUGGGCGGAAGCCUGAUGCAGCAACGCCGCGUGCGGGAUGACGGCCUUCGGGUUGUAAACCGCUUUCGCCUGUGACGAAGCGUGAGUGACGGUAAUGGGUAAAGAAGCACCGGCUAACUACGUG
RNAcentral lists this ribosomal RNA (468 nucleotides) under uncultured bacterium. RNAcentral describes it as "partial 16S ribosomal RNA". It matches the Rfam family "Bacterial small subunit ribosomal RNA", at positions 28 to 507 of the family's 1533-position model. The record is from RNAcentral.